CAACCCUCAAGCUUAGCUUGGUAUUGGGUGUCACCUAGUUAGGUGCUCCUUAAAAUCAGUGGCGGUGCCAUCUAGCUUCAAGCGUAGUAGAAUUUCUCGCUUUGGAAGUUUCAGAUGUGUGUUUGCCAUCCAACACCUAAUUCUUUUAAU
This 150-nucleotide unclassified non-coding RNA is filed under the name uncultured Ascomycota. Its description in RNAcentral is "sequence contains ITS2". The record is from RNAcentral. Lineage: Eukaryota; Fungi; Ascomycota.